RNAcentral lists this long non-coding RNA (2028 nucleotides) under Amborella trichopoda. Its description in RNAcentral is "long non-coding RNA (ATRI_LNC001599)". Lineage: Eukaryota; Viridiplantae; Streptophyta; Magnoliopsida; Amborellales; Amborellaceae. The record is from RNAcentral.
UGGGAGAUUUGAGUAUGGGACCGGGCCCAGAUAUAUUUGGGUUUUCUCAAGGGAAACUGGGGUUUCUAGGGUUUAUCAUAUAUUGGGAUUUGUAUACACUUUAAUGCGCAUGUAUGUGGGAAAAGUUCUCAAAGAUGGCAACCUUAUGCAUCAAGGUACACCUGAAGGUAGAAAAAUCUGAUCAUCUUCACAGAGAAUAUAUAGAUAUUUAAAAGGGGAAAUUAAAAAAAUAACAUCAUGACAUAUUAUUACCCAACUCAAUUAUUUUUCCCAUUUUUUUUCCCCAAAACACGCUUUCUAUAUAAAUACCCUCAACCAAAAUAAAAAUAAAAAAAUAUCUAAAUUACCGUCCCUUAUUUUUACCUUGCCCACUCCUCUCUCUUCUAUCCCACCAAAAUAAGGGCUCCAGCACACAUGUGCUUCGACAAUAGUGCUCCGACACUAUGUAAAGUGCGGUCCGGCUCCGACACUGUGUAAAGUGUGGUCCGGCUCCAAUACUGUGUAGUGUGAUCCGGCAAUAGAGCUCCGGCACUGUGUAAAUUGAUGUCCGUCAAUUGCAAAGGGCAAUCUAGUAGUUGCAAAGGGUGGUCCAGCAGAUGUCCAGCACUAUGUCCAGCACUAUGUAAAGAACGGUCCGACAAUACUCAGUUUCGGUCUGAUAGUUGUCUUAGAGCAGUCCUUCCGCUCUAUCAAUGUGCUACUUGGAUCCAAAAGUCAACGUCAAAUCUGUUCAAAAUGAUUUUUUGUGUUUGGAAGGACAUUUCGUCUAAAAAUAAUUGUGACAAAAUGAUUUUUUGUGUAUGAAGGCAUUUCGUCUUAAAAAAAUUAACUUUUUCCCUUGAGGUAUUUGCAUAGAAAGUUUGUCUUGGGGAAAAAAGUAAGAAAAAAAGGUUGGUUGGGUAAGUUACAUAGAAAGUGUGGUCAAGAAUCUCUAUAAAGGAUCUAAAUCAAUUUUCAAUAAAAUUUGAAAUUAAAAAACUGGUACAGGUCUUACGGAUCUGUGGACACUUAAUUCUAUGGUGAAAUAGACAGUAUUGAUAAUUUGGUACAAUACACACGAUUUUUAGAGCUUAAAAUCCUUUUUUUUUCCACAACUAAUAUGUUCAUGCAGACAUGAUCAAUGUAAAGGUAUUCUAAUGCUUGAAUUGUCAUUUUUUAUGAAGUAUGAGGUGAGGCUUUACGAUGCAGAGAGGAAAACUAACAAAAAUAAAAAAUAACUAAAACAAGUGGAAAGAUUCUACAUUUUCUCUAUGUAGUAAGGGACUCCACCAUCAAACUCUUUACUAAUCACCAAUCACCUUAUAGAGACUGACAAUACAAACUUAUAAAGAAUAAUAAAUAUAAAUAAAAUAGAAAUAAGAAACUAAACUUUAUAUCACCCUUAUCUCUUAAAAACAAUUCUAACAUAUCCUAACCAACCAAUCAUGUUAAUCCUUAUCCAUAUCCAUCUUUUUUAAAAUAAUUAAAAUUUCAAUUCUACCCCUUAAAUCUCUAUAACUAAACAAAUAAGAAUAACCCAAAAGAAAACUAAAAAUCUAAAUAACAUACUUUUUAAGUCCUAAACAAUAUAAACAUAAAAAAUAAAAUAACUAUUUGUUUUUUUUUUUUGAGAAGCUCGACUUUGAAGUUAUUGAACUUAAAUAUUUAAGAAGCCUUCUCUAAAGUUGAUAAUGCAGUCCCAACAUUAUUCUCGAUACUUUGUUUUCAAUAUAUCAAUUGAUCAAAUACUUCAUGAACAACUUGAUGUAGAACCUUGGGAUCUCAAGCUUAAUCUUGAUUUCUUUUUCAAAAUCUUCAUAAAACUCAAGAAAAUCAUGCUGAAUCCCGAUAUCAUGUGAAUGUUCCUCAAAUCGUGAUUCUUGCAUCAUGAUGUGCUCAUUACAUAUACGAUAGGCAUUUGGAAUCGAUGGUGGAGGUAGUUGUGUCACUAAGGUAAAAGUUAGCCCCUAACCUAUGCGAUUGAGAGUAAAGAAUUUACAACGAGGAACUCUUUGAGAAAAUAAUUAUGCCCAACACUGUUUGUCGUGG